This 429-nucleotide ribosomal RNA is filed under the name bacterium 28W211. RNAcentral describes it as "bacterial SSU rRNA". It matches the Rfam family "Bacterial small subunit ribosomal RNA", at positions 1043 to 1473 of the family's 1533-position model. The record is from RNAcentral.
UCUUGGGGGUUUUUUUUACUCGUGUUGUGAAAUGUUGGGUUAAGUCCCGCAACGAGCGCAACCCUUAUCCUUUGUUGCCAGCGGUUCGGCCGGGAACUCAAAGGAGACUGCCAGUGAUAAACUGGAGGAAGGUGGGGAUGACGUCAAGUCAUCAUGGCCCUUACGAGUAGGGCUACACACGUGCUACAAUGGCGCAUACAAAGAGAAGCGACCUCGCGAGAGCAAGCGGACCUCAUAAAGUGCGUCGUAGUCCGGAUUGGAGUCUGCAACUCGACUCCAUGAAGUCGGAAUCGCUAGUAAUCGUAGAUCAGAAUGCUACGGUGAAUACGUUCCCGGGCCUUGUACACACCGCCCGUCACACCAUGGGAGUGGGUUGCAACAAGAAGUAGGUAGCUUAACCUUCGGGAGGGCGCUUACCACUUCCCCGCU